UACGUAGGCAGCGAGCGUUGUUCGGAGUUACUGGGCGUAAAGCGUGCGUAGGCGGUGUCUUAAGUUUGUUGUGAAAGCCCUGGGCUCAACCUGGGAAUGGCAUUGGAAACUGGCGAUCUAGAGUGCGGUAGAGGGUAGUGGAAUUCCCGGUGUAGCAGUGAAAUGCGUCGAGAUCGGGAGGAACAUCUGUGGCGAAGGCGACUGCCUGGACCAGCACUGACACUGAGGCACGAAAGCGUGGGGAGCAAACAGG
Molecule: ribosomal RNA, 253 nt
Filed under: uncultured bacterium
Lineage: Bacteria
Description: partial 16S ribosomal RNA
Rfam family: Bacterial small subunit ribosomal RNA
Source: RNAcentral